Molecule: ribosomal RNA, 121 nt
Filed under: Periophthalmus magnuspinnatus
Lineage: Eukaryota; Metazoa; Chordata; Actinopteri; Gobiiformes; Gobiidae
Source: RNAcentral
UUUCAUAGCUAAACCUAAUUGUCAAAGCCUGUACUCUUCUGAUCUCCGAAGCUAAGCAGGGCUGGGCCAGAUUUAUACUUGGAUAGAAGACUUCUGGGAAUACCAGGAGCCACAGUGGGGC